RNAcentral lists this ribosomal RNA (253 nucleotides) under uncultured bacterium. RNAcentral describes it as "partial 16S ribosomal RNA". It matches the Rfam family "Bacterial small subunit ribosomal RNA", at positions 524 to 776 of the family's 1533-position model. The record is from RNAcentral.
UACGGGGGGGGCAAGCGUUGUUCGGAAUUACUGGGCGUAAAGGGCUCGUAGGCGGCCAACUAAGUCGGACGUGAAAUCCCCAGGCUCAACCUGGGAACUGCGUCCGAUACUGGAUGGCUUGAAUCCGGGAGAGGGAUGCAGAAUUCCAGGUGUAGCGGUGAAAUGCGUAGAUAUCUGGAGGAAUACCGGUGGCGAAGGCGGCCGUCUGGACCGGUACUGACGCUGAGGCGCGAAAGCCAGGGGAGCGAAUGGG